Mycena galopus ATCC 62051 is the source of this 92-nucleotide non-coding RNA. The record is from the annotation of a GenBank genome assembly. Lineage: Eukaryota; Fungi; Basidiomycota; Agaricomycetes; Agaricales; Mycenaceae.
UCGGGCGUAGUGUAGGGCACACCUCCGUUUCAUCUGAAAAUCCUCUUUGAUGUGGUAAGCGGAUAUUCCGGGUUCGACUCCCGGCGCCUGAA